UACGGAGGAUGCGAGCGUUAUCCGGAUUUAUUGGGUUUAAAGGGUGCGCAGGCGGAAGAUUAAGUCGGUGGUGAAAUUUUGCAGCUCAACUGUAAAAGUGCCAUUGAUACUGGUUUUCUUGAGUGUAGAUGAAGUAGGCGGAAUUUGUGGUGUAGCGGUGAAAUGCAUAGAUAUCACGAGGAACUCCGAUUGCGCAGGCAGCUUACUAAACUACUACUGACGCUCAGGCACGAAGGCGUGGGGAUCAAACAGGAUUAGAUA
This 261-nucleotide ribosomal RNA is filed under the name uncultured prokaryote. RNAcentral's name for it is "partial 16S ribosomal RNA". It matches the Rfam family "Bacterial small subunit ribosomal RNA", at positions 524 to 784 of the family's 1533-position model. The record is from RNAcentral.